GCGCCAAAUCGCAUUCGUCACGGAGUAAUGAAAACUCCCAAAAGAAUCCGAAAGGGAAUCAGAUUAUUUUGAUGAAUAACCAGAUAACCUGCUAAGCAAUUCAGUUUAUAUCAAUUUCUUGAUAUGAAGGAGAGAAAAUCAAUUUCAUAGAAAUAUUCAUUUGGCACAAUAACAACUCUUUUUAUACAGGGAAUACUUCCUUAUAGUCGUUCCAGAAAAAUUUCACCAUUCGGUUGCCUCUGCUCGUUUCUUUAGUUGAAUCAGAAAGUGUUGAAAAAAGAAACCAGCCAAGCACUCUGAUCUGUAAAAAUAUUUUUGUAUCCUGGAUAGACGUUUCAUUUGUCAGCAAUCAACAUGACAGUAAAGAUUCACAUAGUAUACUGGUAAGGUUAUACAUUUCUACCAUUUAUAGAUUAUCUUUCGUUUACUUUGCAACUUUUUUUUAUGGAAUGUCAACUGCAAGGAGUCAUGGAAUGUUAUGUGGGAGAUAAAAUAUAUGGAAUGGAAAUGAGAGACAAGUUAUUAUAUUUGUGAAUGAGUCUGAUAGACCAGUGGCGGAUCCAGAAAUUUACUUAUAGGGAACUCCAACUGUUAUUAACUGCCCGCUCCAGUCAUAUGCUUCAUUGAUUCCCCAUUAUAUGGACAAGAAUUGUGAAUUUCUGACGAUAAUUCUAUUAAGCAUGUCAAGUGGGUCUCAUUGGGGUCUAAGCGUGGCACAAGAUUGCCAAUUUUUUAGUAAGCCGACACAUGAAAGUCAAAUUAUUGUGCCUUGAAAGCGUGAAAUAAAGUCUAGCGGGACAAGGAAAAUAACAAAAAAACGAGAAUUGCUUGUGCAUGUACAUAGUGUAAGCAGGAUACAGGAAUCUGACAAAACAAUAAACAGGAUCCAAAAUCAGAACCCCCACAUGAGACAUGUCAAGUUGUAAAAACUUUAUAUUUUGAAAUCAUGCAGUUUAAAUAAAAAACCUGAUGAAUAUUAAAAUUGGGUAGGGUGGAUUAUAAAUCAACCAUAUUUAGAGAUUCAAAUCUUGUUACCCAUACCUCACAUGUACAGUGCAACUCAGUGCAGUUUAAACUUGUAUUGAAAAGUUGAUAGAAAAACAUAUUCAUGCUCUGAUAAUGGAUAGUUUAAAAAUGUUAAUUUGACUGUCACUGAUCUGGAAGGUUUUUUUCACUAUGGGCCCAGGGCCCCUCAAAACUAAAUUCAAUGGGCCAUUUAAAAAAAAUAAUGGGCCAUGUUGUCAAAUGAGUGGGCCAUUUUAAUUGACUUCUGUACAAAAAAAAAUAUCAGUAUAUUUUGGCAAAGAGGUGUUGAUACUUACCUUUAUGAUUUUAAAUAAAAUCAUGGAUAUUGUUCCUGUGAUUUUAUAAUUUCAAUUUCAAUGAAUAUACAAUAACUUUUUCCAACCCCAACAAAAUUUUAAGUCAACCUUUAUUUACAAUGUUUAAACUGGUACUGUUGCCUUGUUCAUGUUUAUGUUUUCUUUUUGUACAUAAAAUUUAGGUCUUCGUCGAUACCAUACUUAUUCUAGACAUUCCGUAUCAGGGAUAUUUCACAUUUCCUUCUGCACUUCUUGUAUUAUUAUAACUUCAUCACGGUGACAAGAAUAACAGUAAAGAGUACCAUUAAUUCAUAGAACAUAACAACAAAUCGCUGAAGUCAUGUUUACAAAAUGUAAAAAACAAGUCAAAGACCAAAAAAUGACAAGGACAGUUAGGCGUCUUUUAUGGAGACAAAAACUAUAUUCCUAAAAAGUCUUGGGGUUCUUUAAUCGAAAUAAUAGCAAGCUAAACUAAAUGAGAUUAUUAUUACAGUUAAAUCUCGUCUGUACUAGCCAAAUUUCACAAAUUUAAAGUUGUUUAUAAACAAAUAGAAUAGAAUAGAAUAUUUUUAUUCACCAAAUUAGGGCCCCAGUAGAAUCUGGGUCUGUUCGCGCCCAUUCACGUGCGCACCUGCUCAUGUUCGCCCCUUUCACUUUCGCACCCUACAUGUUUGCGCCCAAUUUUAAUUGGUUUUGUGUUUAAUAACUUUGUCAUCAAGUUUUGGCAAGUGUAUUCUUAUAAGUCAUGUAAGUAUAUUUGUUGUCAUUGUUUCAAAAUAAAGCAUUUUUUUUUGUUGUUGAAUAAAUUUUAAUCAUUUUUUUGAUAGUGUAUUGUUAAAAAUAACAAUUUGUAAAUAAAAUGGGUUUCUGUCAACGUUUUAUUUUGUGUUGCAUAACUCUUAAUAAUCAUGGUUUGGUUAGUGUAUUGCUAUAAAUUUGUUUCAUUGACUUGUUUCAAAAUAAAGUGAGAUUCUGACUACGUUUUUUUUUUGUGUGCUGAAUAAAUUUUAUCAUGUUUUGGUUAUAAUAGUGUAUUGCUAUAUUUUAUUGUUUCAUUGUUUCAGAUCAAAGGGACCAAGCUGUUAUAAACAAUUACCUUUUGUGUUUUUUAUUUAAAAUCUUCAAUGUUUUACUCAUACCAAGCUAAAUACAUUCAGUAUUUACACCAAAGCAAUUUAAAACAACAAUCAUGAUUUUCCAAUUAUUCAACUGGAAUUUGAUUAAAAUUGGGCACGAACGUGUAGAGUGCGAACGGACCUUGGGUGCGAACGUGUAGGGUGCGAAAAUAUAUAUUGGUGCGAACGGACCUGAUACCGCCCCAGGAGGGCAUACAAAUAUAUCAUGAAUGAUGGUUAAUUAAGUUUUUCGGGUUAUCAGUUAGACCGCAAGGUUCUAUUAUUACAAUAGGAAAACACCCGAGACGUUAAAAAUCGCAUGGUUCUAUUAUGAUAGGGUAACACCCGAGACGUCCCAAAAAUAUAUAGGUGCUCCUAUUAUUGGAGGAACAUUACACAGUUGUGUACACACACAUGGCGGCACAGAACACGAUCGGAAAUUCAUUUGACGAUAUCUAAACAUUUCGAAACGAAGUGAAAAAUAUCGUGCGCCACGUGGGCACUUACAUUUGUCACUGCAUGCGCCAUUUCUUGUCAAUAUGCGCUAUAGGCGCAGGGCGCACGUCCUUCCCGAUCACUGGACUGUAUAACUAUCCAUUUUGAUAGAAAAAGAUCUUCAUGUUCUGAUAAUGAAUAGUUUCAAAUUUUCAAUUUGAAUAUAAAUUAAACUAUCCAUUUGUAUAUUUAAGUAAACCAUCGCCCAAUUUAUAGUAUACAUUGCAAAAUAUUUCUUUCGUCCCAGACAUGUCAGAAAUUUAUUAAAACUUUUCCUUGAUGCUGUUAAAAAAUUUCUAGUCAGUGGAAAAAUCAUGUUAUAUUUGCAUAAAGAGCUACUAAUUUUUUGAAAUAAAAGCUAUAACCAAAUUUUAUUAGUCUGUCAAAAAUUAUUAAAGGUGAAAUAUAUACAUUAUUAUUAUCUAAAUUUGUUAAAGGAGGUUCUUAUAUAUAAAAAAAAUAAUUAUAAAAAAGUCAUUUAGAACUAAAGACAUUAAGGACUAAAUUACAGGAAACAUGAUAUAUGUUUUUAAUAUUAUAUUCUUUUAUUUUAUAAGUUUUCACUCUUUGUCUUAAAUAAAUAGAUAUAGGAAGAUGUGGUAUGAGUGCCAAUGAGACAACUCUCCAUCCAAAUAACAAUUUAUAAAAGUAAACCAUUAUAUGUCAUGCAAGGUACAGCGGCUUUCAACACAGACCCUUGGCUCACCUGAACAGCAAGCUACAUGUAUAAAGGGCCCCAAAAAUUACUAGUGUAAAACCAUUCACAGUGACACGGGAAAACCAACAGUCUAAUCUAAAUAAAAACUAGAAAUGAGAGAAACACGUACAUGUAUGAACCACAUAAACAUACAACAACCACUGAAAGUAUGUUUUGGGUUUCUAUUUGUAUAAAUUUGUCUAUUUUCUGUUUGUGACAAGCAAAUACAAUAUAAAUCUAUAAUAUUUUUUUAUUGAAUAAUGCAGCCUUAAAUAAAACAGAUAUUAGGGGUUUAGGUUCUUAUUAUAUAAAGAAACUUUAUGAUUGAAAAUUGAUACAACCUAAUUCAAUCCUAAAAAAGAAAGCAAAAAAAAAAACUAAUUGGAAAGAAAUAGAAAAAGAAAGUAAAAAUUAUCACCUAAAACUAAAACUUACUAAAAUGUUAGAUGAUUUGUUUUAUCUCUCUUAUGACUAUCUGAUACAUGUAUUCUAAUAUGUUUAUUAUACCCCAUCCGUCCGUCCGUCAGUCCGUCCGUCUGUCCGUCAGUCCUGUUUCUUGUCAUCGCAACUCCUCUCAAACCACACAACAGAAUUUCACGAAACCUUUUCAAAUAAUAAGGAGAUACUAUUAGUUGUGCAUCGACGGGAAAUUUGCGAUUCAAUUUUUUUUUCUAGGAGUUACGCCCUUUGAACUUAUUUCUUUAAUGUACUACUGCAACAGUUUGUCAUCGGAACUCCUCUCAAAAACCACACAACAGAAUUUCACGAAACCUUUCAGAUAAUAAGGACAUCUAUAGUUGUGCAUAUCGACGGGAAAUUACGAUUCAAUUUUAUUUCUAGGAGUUACGCCCCUUUGAACUUAUUGCUUCAAUGUACUACUGCAAAGUUUGUCAUCGCAACUCCUCUGAAACACACAACAGAAUUUCAUGAAACCUUUUCAGAUAAUAAGGACAUACUAUGUAGUUGUGCAUAUCGACGGGAAAUUACGAUUCAGUUUUAUUUCUAGGAGUUACGCCCCUUUGAACUUAAUGUAUAUUGACAGGAAAUUAUUAUUCAAUAUUUUUCUUAUACAAUUUUUUUUUCUUAUACUUAUUUAAUUUCUCCAAUGACAAUGUGGGGACAUGGGGUAUGUGAGCGUGCUCACUAAGGUUCUUUAAUUUAUUUUAAUGUACUACUGCAACAGUUUGUCAUCGCAACUCUUCUCAAACCACACAACAGAAUUUCACGAAACCUUUUCAGAUAAUAAGGACAUACUAUGUAGUUGUGCAUAUCGACGGGAAAUUACGAUUCAAUUUUAUUCUAGGAGUUACGCCCCUUUGAACUUAUUUGCCUUCAAUGUACUUCUGCAACAGUUUGUCAUCUCAAUCCUCUGAAAACACACAACAGAAUUUCAUGAAAUUUUAUAGAUAAUAAGGACAUACUAUGUAUAUUGACAGGAAAUUAUUAUUCAAUAUUUUUUCUUAUACAAUUUUUUUUUCUUAUACUUAUUUAAUUUCUCCAAUGACAAUGUGGGGACGUGGAGUAUGUGAGCGUGCUCACUAAGGUUCUUUAAUUUAUUUUAAUGUACUACUGCAACAGUUUGUCAUCGCAACUCCUCUCAAACCACAAACAGAUUCACGAAACCUUUUCAGAAUAAAGACAUACUAUGUGUUGUGCAUAUCGAUGAAAUUGUGAUUCAAUUUUUUUUCUAGGAGUUACGCCCCUUUGAACUUAUUUGCUUCAAUGUACUACUGCAACAGUUUGUCAUGGUAACUUCUCUCAAACCACACAACAGAAUUUCACAAAACCUUUUCAGAUAAUAAGGACAUACUAUGUAGUUGUGCAUAUCGACGGCAAAUUGUGACUCAAUUUUUUUUCUAGGAGUUACGCCCCUUUGAACUUAUUUGCUUCAAUGUACUUCUGCAAUAGUUUGUCAUCUCAACUCCUCUGAAACCACUCAACAGAAUUUCAUGAAAUUUUGUAGAUAAUAAGGACAUACUAUUUAGAUGUGCAUAUUGGCAGGAAAUUAAUUUUUCUUAUACAAUUUUUUUUUCUUUCACUUAUCUAAUUUCUCCAAUGACAAUGUGGGGUAUGUGAGCGUGCUCGCUAAGGUUCUUUAAUUUUUUCUCUUUUACAGAGGAGCAUGAGGAUAUGAACCCAAGGUAAAUAUAAGUAAAUAGUAUAGACCAGUUUCACAUAAGCUACUAAUCAACGCUGAUCUCGAAAUUUUCUGCGCGUUUGAGUUUAAAUCUCGCGAUAAUUAACGAUAUCAUACGUGACAGGGGGCUACUGAUAUUUAGCAACACAAUAAUAAAUCAACCGCUUAUAAUUACUGCGUUAUGUACAUUGCUGUAUGUCAGUUUGAUUUUUCGUGAAAAGAGAAAAAUAUUUUGAUAAAGAGAAAACAGCCUAAACAUCAGAAAUUCAUUUAAUUUCAGUUCUGUUCCAGUUUUUCUUAAUAUUUUUUACAUCUUCUUCACAUGCAUGUAAAGGGUUUUUACGGUCUACAUAUAGGUUUAGUAUCAUAGACUCGAACUUUUAAUUUUCUUUUAAAAAAAUACAGGUUACUGUUAUGGUGACUUUUGCAUGAAAUUUUAUGGGUACAAGGACAUGAUACCGGCACUACUAAAUAAUCGAAAUUUCCAAUAAUGGUAGUACAAUGUAGGGGAGUAUAAUAUAUAAUGUUCAACGAAAAUUGAUAGAAUUUUUCCUUACAUACUCUUGUCAAAGAUGUAGUACAUAAUUAUUGUGAUAUGCUAACAAUAUGAAAAACACAAUGAUAGGUCACCGAGUGUAUUCAAGCUAUACGCUGUGAAAAUAUGAAGCAUUUUGUAUGGAUUAAACAGAGGCAUUUUUAAGGUAAAAGUAUCAUUAUAUGAAUAUUUGAAGGUAAAACAAAUGAUAGAAUUCCAAAGUAAAAUGUGAGAAAAUAGCUCUUAUAAAAUGCGUUCAGAAAACAACAGAAAAAAUGGAGUCACCAUGCGUUUUAUCCUGUUUUAGCGUACAUGGCAAUAUAACAUUAAUAGAACACUUUCCUAUUGAUUGUAAUAGACACGUAGUAGACAGGGCCCUGGUACCGUGUUGAAGACCGUACAUUGACCUAUAGUUGUUAAACUUUUGAUACAUUGUGACAUGGACUGAUCGACAGUUGAAUCAUUGGCACUCAUACCACAUCUGCUUAUUUGUAUGUACAUUUGUUUCAAAUAUUUCUGUGUCAAUGAUGUUUUAGACGGCCAUGAUAUAAAUGAAGUGAGAUAUAAGGCAGUUUUUAAAAUACGUAUCAGAAAUACAGGUUCAUCUUCAAUUUUCAAAGAUCGGACUAUAAUACAAUGCAUUCAAUAUCAUUUUAAUUUCUAAGCUAUGUUCAUGAUCGAUUUCGUCUAAGCAGAGGUUCAGUGCCAGCGGGGCGAGUAAUUUUCUACAUAUUGUCAACUUUAUCAUUUUUCGUGCCAUUAAAAGUAAUUGAAUAUCCUGUAUUUACAACAAGCGAUGUAUGCCUUAAAUUAAGAUCAAAUGCUGAAUGACCCCCUCCUAAAUUAUUAAAAUAUUCCCAGUGGCAUUAACCACACUGGCCAUGAUAUCUCAGUGUUAAUAAGGUACCAGGGUUAACAUUUUAAAACAUCUGUACUAGGGGAUGACCAUUUGAUUUUCAGGGGGGGGGGGGGGGGUAGAAAAAUAAUAUUCUUAGACUAAUUUCCUAAUAAAUAAUUAUGACCUAGGCAGGAUGGAAAAGAAUGAUCUGCAACACAAACUACAGGAAAUAAUUGUGUACAAAAGUUAAAUGAAUUAUCAAACGGUCGCCCUUUUUCAGUAACUGUAUAUACAGAAAAGGGUACGUUUUAUCAAUUUUCACCUGGUGAGAUUAUACAAGGUGAAACGAGGAUUCCACAUGGCCAAGGUGUUAAUUGCCUUCUUAAUUUAUGACCUUAUACUAUGUAUAUGAAGUGAGCCCGCUUAUUUAUCUAAUUUAUUCUUCCCGUUAGGUGAACGAUCUCAGCGUGAAUUCGUGACAUUUAAAGGUACAAUUAAUAUAAAGCCAGGCGGCAUAUCAGAUCGUAUAUAAUACUGCAAUCAACAACACAGCAGUAGUCCGUUUUAAAAUCUUUUAUUGUGUCAAUUGUUAAAUAAUUAAAGUUGUCUGGUCAAUAUAAAUUUUUAUAUUUUGAUUCAAUGAUGAUGCUCAUGUUGUUAGAAAUGACCCAAAUGUAAACGCAAACACUCAAUCAGAUGCUUGUUUUUCCAAGUCUUAAUGGUCACUGCUUACAACCGUUAGCCCCCAGUUGAUAAACUCUCGAGAAUUAUCGCGUGAUUUCAUAGUUUUGCUAAUUAGAUUAGACAUGCGCAGUUAAAUGUGAAACUGGUGUAUUGGUAUACAAAUUUACAUGUUGAUAAAUUAAAGCAUUACAAGGCGUCACAACUCAUAUUCAGCAAAAAGUAGAUUUAAGGUCACCAUACGCAGUAGUCUUAUUCCAAGUACAAGCUCCACAUAGUGCUGUAUCUACAUGUAUAUAUUAUAUAGUUCAGACCACUAGAGAUAUGACACCAGGGUAUUUCAAAUGUUAAUAUAGUUAUGGUCCUAUAAAUGCAUGGGGAUUUAUAAUUAUCUCCCUUUAAACAGAUGUUUAACAUCUUACAUUAUCAUGAUUAUAAACAUUUUACACUUUUACAUUUUUUUGUAAAACUGCUUUAUAUGAACAUUUUAAUUUAAUGAAAAAGUGAUCAUAUGAAAUACACUUUUUUUAAGAGACAGAAAAUGGUAAAUGCUGUAUUAUGUUUUUCAUGAAUGUUGAAUGUUACAAUGCUGAAAUGAAAUAUGUAAUAAGGAGAUGUGAUAUGAUUGCAAAUGAGAUGACUUUCCAACAUAGUCCAAAUAAUGUGGAUUUAAGAAAUUAUAGGUCAACGAACAGCCAUUUGUUUUGUUCAAACUUUUAUGAAAUUAUUGCCAUCAAAGUUUUAUAUAUACAAAUAUGUGAUGUUAAUUUUUCAUAUUUAUACGUAGUUUAGAAAUAAUAUAUUUGGCAGAAGAAUAUUGAACAUUUUUAUUUACUUCCAUACAUGUAUACUUUUACUUUCUACCAAUGGGUCUUCAACAUAGUGAGAAAAUCUCUAAACCAGAGAUGGGCUUCAGCUUGACCAUGAACAACAAUGUGUACUAGUUUAGUGAAAAUGGACAUCACACUAAACUUGAGCUAAAAUUAAAAAAAAACAUACAAAUCUAACAAAGAUCCAGAGGUUUCUGAAUGUGACUUUUACAAGUCUAGAAGAAAAAUAGAUAUAUACUUAAAUAAUUUUGAUAGUGUUUCAUUCUGUAUGUCUAUUUUAUUAAUGUUUAAGCUUUAUUUUGCAGUUCCGUAAGUUAAAGACGGAGCUUGAGCGAUCAUAUCCCGGCCAGGUGGCAAUCGUAAGUUCAUCAUUAAAACAAAAUAGUUUUAUUUGUUUGUUAGGAAGUUGAUUUAUUAUCAUUUUCAUAAAAAAAACAUGCCUAGAAUACAUUGGUUUAACAUAUUUUUAACAAGCUUGUGUCUGAGUGUAGGUCUGUCAAAUAAAAUAUUUUGCUAGAUAUCAAGAAGUUUCCUGAAUAUUCCAGAAUAUGGAUAAUUGCAUUGAAUCUCAUUAGAAUUUAAUUUUUGAAAAGCCAAGAAGGUCUACACUAAAGGGCCAUUUGUGUUUUGCUUGAAAAAGAAAGAAAUAUCACAUGCCAUCCCAAAAAUUGAAUCACAUGUGAAAAUGUCUCGACUUUGACAUGAACCAGUACCGGUAUAUAUAUCCAAAGCUACAUUUACAAUAUGGACAGAGGAAUUGAAGAAAACUUUACUUUAUCCCCAUCUUGAAAAGAUUUAUGCAUUUUGAACCAUUGGAGAUAUAAAGACAUUAGAAAAUUUAAAAAGGUAGGAUUUAAAUGUAAUGAGUUUUAACAUAGAUUUAUUAUUGCUGCAUUACAAAGUGAAGGUUGCCUUUAGAGAGAUACAUUUAAAUAAUAUGAAAGAACUGGUUUAUCCAAAAGGAGACUGCCAUAUGCUAGAUCUGGCAGUGAGACUUGUCCUGAGGGGUGAAUCUGUCAUUCCUUUUAUACAUUUCAUCCCCCCCUCAACUCAUUUUGCUGAAUCUACAUAAUCUUAUUCACAUCUUAAUCAUUCAUUUUAUAUUGAGUAAUGCAUAUGUAACUUUAAAAACAAUUUAUAAGUCAACCAAGUUGCAGUAGGUAUGAUCAUCAGCUUUCAUUCCUUUUUAUAAUUAUAUUGUCAACUGAUGAUGUCAAUACAAAGAAUAAAAAUGUUUUUGUUUAUUGUUUUAGACCGGAGAAGGAACACCAAGUGUAACUGGCUUUUUCGAAGUUGAGGUUGCUGGAAAACUUGUUCAUAGCAAGAAGGUUAGAUUAAGUGCUAAGAUGUCAUGUGUUCUUGAAAAAUGUUGAUAAUCAGUCUUUUAGUUAGCAAGGACCAAAUCUAUCUUCAAA
This 10065-nucleotide long non-coding RNA is filed under the name Mytilus galloprovincialis (Mediterranean mussel). Lineage: Eukaryota; Metazoa; Mollusca; Bivalvia; Mytilida; Mytilidae. The record is from RNAcentral.